AGGACGAACGCUGGCGGCGUGCUUAACACAUGCAAGUCGAGCGGUAAGGCCUUUCGGGGUACACGAGCGGCGAACGGGUGAGUAACACGUGGGUGAUCUGCCCUGCACUUCGGGAUAAGCCUGGGAAACUGGGUCUAAUACCGGAUAUGACCUCCUAUCGCAUGGUGGGUGGUGGAAAGAUUUAUCGGUGCAGGAUGGGCCCGCGGCCUAUCAGCUUGUUGGUGGGGUAAUGGCCUACCAAGGCGACGACGGGUAGCCGACCUGAGAGGGUGACCGGCCACACUGGGACUGAGACACGGCCCAGACUCCUACGGGAGGCAGCAGUGGGGAAUAUUGCACAAUGGGCGAAAAGCCUGAUGCAGCGACGCCGCGUGAGGGGAUGGAAGGCCUUCGGGGUUGUAAACUGU
Molecule: ribosomal RNA, 407 nt
Filed under: uncultured soil bacterium
Lineage: Bacteria
Description: bacterial SSU rRNA
Rfam family: Bacterial small subunit ribosomal RNA
Source: RNAcentral